CUCACGAAACGCAACAAGCUGGAAAGAAGAAGAUGAAGUUUGUUCAAAUCAAGUAACUAAGGACCAAUUAAUGAAGAGGAAGGCAAUGCACUCGACUGCCUUCGUGUCAUCUAAAACUUUCCAUGCCAGGGCUUGUUCGUAGGUUACGGUGCGACCUGUGCUGGACAUGCGCACUCCUGCUGGAAGGGAGCAAUAACCCUGUUCCAAAAGAAAAAACAUCAGCAAUGAGAGAAGCUAAAUCACUAGUAGGAAAAGAAAGCAGACCGAGGAGGGUGUCGAUCUUCUAUUCAUAACAACAAAUUAAUGGUUAAGGCAGAGAAUGAGAAAUACCUGUUGCAAAACUUGAGUAAACGUAGCAUAUGACAACUUGCGGUCGUUCUCAUUCAGAGUCUUCUCCCAAUUCAGAUUCUGCAGAGAGCUUGUAGCGGUUUCGAACAUCUCAAGGCCUGAUCGAUUGGCAAACACGAACUCUGGCAUUCCCUGUGAAAAAGCACAAUGUCCCUUCGUCAACAAGCCCGCUAAUCAUUCAUGGCAGAGAACUAGUUAUGUAAGUUUUAAAAUGGUAACUACAAGAAGGCUUUGAAGAGGUAAGCCUCUAUUUGCUUAACAGAUAAAGCGACAAAAUAAAAGUCUUUCCUUGAUUUUUUAUCUUUUUAUCUUUUAAUCUUCAUUUCCUUAAGAUUUACCUUCCACGCACAGCACACAAUAGCAUCUGUGUGAUGCCAGAAUGCCUUGAAAAGAGCUUCGUCACUUCCAUUCUCUGGUCUCACCAGAUCAAUACCCAGGUGGAACCUAGACAUAAAAUACGUUACAAUUAGCUGACGCCACCUGACAAGAAGCUAAAGACAUACUUGGCAAAAACCCCAUCCCCUAAAGAGUAAAUACGAUCCAGUACAGAUGGUACAAUGAAGUGAGAAAUUGCAAACAAAUAAGGUAUUGAUGGACUAAAGAAGCGGUAUGCGUUUUCAAAAAUCACCUGUAGCUGCUCAGAACAUGGCAUGCUAAGGAAAGUGCAUCUGGAUUACUAGGUGCUUGGCGAGGGGGAGCUGCUCCUCGAGAAGGAGCUAAUGCCAUUGCUACCCGUUGGACUGAUGCCACUACAGUGCGCACAUAUUGUCGAGCCAUAGCUGCAACAGUUUCACGUGUGUGCACCUCGUACGCAAACUGAAAUGCAAUCGUGAGAACAGACCGCAUCUGGCCGGAGCUGCUAUUCGAUUUCACAUCACCGUUCAGGCGCAAAUCAUUCCCUCCUUCUAGAGUAGAAGCUAAAUCAAGCGUCCGAUCAAG
RNAcentral lists this long non-coding RNA (1287 nucleotides) under Physcomitrium patens. Its description in RNAcentral is "long non-coding RNA (PPAT_LNC002615)". The record is from RNAcentral. Lineage: Eukaryota; Viridiplantae; Streptophyta; Bryopsida; Funariales; Funariaceae.